GCCGAUGUAGCUUAGGUUAUAGCACGUGAUUUGUAAUCUCGGGGUCGAGGGUUCGAAUCCCUCCAUCGGCU
RNAcentral lists this transfer RNA (71 nucleotides) under Candidatus Karelsulcia muelleri. RNAcentral's name for it is "tRNA-Thr". It matches the Rfam family "tRNA". From Rfam's summary of the family: Transfer RNA (tRNA) molecules are approximately 80 nucleotides in length. Their secondary structure includes four short double-helical elements and three loops (D, anti-codon, and T loops). Further hydrogen bonds mediate the characteristic L-shaped molecular structure. tRNAs have two regions of fundamental functional importance: the anti-codon, which is responsible for specific mRNA codon recognition, and the 3' end, to which the tRNAs corresponding amino acid is attached (by aminoacyl-tRNA synthetases). tRNAs cope with the degeneracy of the genetic code in two manners: having more than one tRNA (with a specific anti-codon) for a particular amino acid; and 'wobble' base-pairing, i.e. permitting non-standard base-pairing at the 3rd anti-codon position. Lineage: Bacteria; Pseudomonadati; Bacteroidota; Flavobacteriia; Flavobacteriales. The record is from RNAcentral.